This 253-nucleotide ribosomal RNA is filed under the name uncultured bacterium. Its description in RNAcentral is "partial 16S ribosomal RNA". It matches the Rfam family "Bacterial small subunit ribosomal RNA", at positions 524 to 776 of the family's 1533-position model. The record is from RNAcentral.
UACAGGGGGGGCAAGCGUUGUUCGGAAUUACUGGGCGUAAAGGGUCUGUAGGUGGCCAACUAAGUCAGACGUGAAAUCCCUCAGCUUAACUGGGGAACUGCGUCUGAUACUGGAUGGCUUGAGUGUGGGAGAGGAAUGCGGAAUUCCAGGUGUAGCGGUGAAAUGCGUAGAUAUCAAGAGGAACACCAGUGGCGAAGGCGAGUCCCUGGACAACACCUGACACUGAGGCACGAAAGCUAGGGGAGCAAACAGG